CAGCCGCCGCGGGAAAACGGAGGGGGCUAGCGUUGUUCGGAAUUACUGGGCGUAAAGCGCACGUAGGCGGUUAUUCAAGUCAGAGGUGAAAGCCCGGGGCUCAACCCCGGAACUGCCUUUGAAACUAGAUGACUAGAAUCUUGGAGAGGCGAGUGGAAUUCCGAGUGUAGAGGUGAAAUUCGUAGAUAUUCGGAAGAACACCAGUGGCGAAGGCGGCUCACUGGACCGUUGUUGACGCUGAGGUGCGAAAGCGUGGGGAGCAAACAGGAUUAGAUACCCGCGUAGUCCCUGUCUCUUAUAC
This 301-nucleotide ribosomal RNA is filed under the name uncultured bacterium. RNAcentral's name for it is "partial 16S ribosomal RNA". It matches the Rfam family "Bacterial small subunit ribosomal RNA", at positions 509 to 807 of the family's 1533-position model. The record is from RNAcentral.